RNAcentral lists this ribosomal RNA (253 nucleotides) under uncultured bacterium. RNAcentral's name for it is "partial 16S ribosomal RNA". It matches the Rfam family "Bacterial small subunit ribosomal RNA", at positions 524 to 776 of the family's 1533-position model. The record is from RNAcentral.
GACGUAGGGCGCGAGCGUUGUCCGGAUUUAUUGGGCGUAAAGAGCUCGUAGGCGGCUUGUCGCGUCGUCCGUGAAAACUUGGGGCUCAACCCCAAGCUUGCGGUCGAUACGGGCAGGCUCGAGUUCGGUAGGGGAGACUGGAAUUCCUGGUGUAGCGGUGAAAUGCGCAGAUAUCAGGAGGAACACCGGUGGCGAAGGCGGGUCUCUGGGCCUUGCCUGACGCUGAGGCGCGAAAGCUAGGGGAGCGAACAGG